RNAcentral lists this ribosomal RNA (492 nucleotides) under uncultured bacterium. RNAcentral's name for it is "partial 16S ribosomal RNA". It matches the Rfam family "Bacterial small subunit ribosomal RNA", at positions 29 to 507 of the family's 1533-position model. The record is from RNAcentral.
AGUGAACGCUGGCGGUAGGCCUAACACAUGCAAGUCGAACGGCAGCACAGUAAGAGCUUGCUCUUACGGGUGGCGAGUGGCGGACGGGUGAGGAAUACAUCGGAAUCUACUUUUUCGUGGGGGAUAACGUAGGGAAACUUACUCUAAUACCGCAUACGACCUACGGGUGAAAGCAGGGGAUCUUCGGACCUUGCGCGAUUGAAUGAGCCGAUGUCGGAUUAGCUAGUUGGCGGGGUAAAGGCCCACCAAGGCGACGAUCCGUAGCUGGUCUGAGAGGAUGAUCAGCCACACUGGAACUGAGACACGGUCCAGACUCCUACGGGAGGCAGCAGUGGGGAAUAUUGGACAAUGGGCGCAAGCCUGAUCCAGCCAUACCGCGUGGGUGAAGAAGGCCUUCGGGUUGUAAAGCCCUUUUGUUGGGAAAGAAAAGCAGCAGGUUAAUACCCCGCUGUUCUGACGGUGCCCAAAGAAUAAGCACCGGCUAACUUCGUG